RNAcentral lists this long non-coding RNA (952 nucleotides) under Dromaius novaehollandiae (emu). RNAcentral's name for it is "lncRNA (ENSDNVG00000007892.1)". The record is from RNAcentral. Lineage: Eukaryota; Metazoa; Chordata; Aves; Casuariiformes; Dromaiidae.
AAGAAAUGCAUCUGCAUAAGAAGCUGUACCAGCAUAACAAGGGAUAGCAUGAUUACACUUAGGCUAAUAUGUCUCCUCGUGGCACAGGCCCUUCAGGCUUUUCUUUGACCUAGCAGAGCUGACUCAAAGUUGCUUUCCUCCAUUCUCUCCCUCUCUUCUCUUCCCCAGAGGAGAUGAGGACCAAGCUGUGUUUCASAUACUACCUCACAAGCAAUUGUGGAGAACUCUUUCCCCAUAAGAAUGUCACCUGUAAGAGCUCCUGACUGGGGAAGCUAGUUACCAGUCUAUACCUGGAAAUCUUUUAAAAAUUGGCGUGACAGAAAGAAACGUUGAACUACCUGACAAGCAGUGCUGCGAAGGACGUCCUUUUUAGCAGGAUGCCAGGAAGAAGCAUGACGAGUGGAGCUCCUGGGCACUUCUUCACAACCUUCCCUCACAAGCAGGCAGGUUGGUGCUAUUCUUUUGCAUUCAGGAUCAUGUUUAUUCCCGGAAAUACAAAGAUAACUUAGGGUCAAAUGUUCUUCAGGCAAGGGAAAUACUAUCUCGGUCUUAGAUCACAGUCAUGGUUUUUGCUAGCUAAAAUCAAUUUGUAAGCACAGGGCUGAACAGCCUGGAUCAGCAAAUAGCAGCUGAAUGUAAAUAGUGACAAAACAAAUGGAAAUGAUGGAUAAAAGCCAAUUUGAGAAAACUCUGUGAUCUUUCUCUGUUCAGAUAUCUUUGGGCAAUGAGGGGAGGGGCUGCUGUAAAACUCAAGAUCUGGAUCCCUUCAUGAACUGCCAGAUGAAGACACUGCAAGGCAGAUAUUAUCAGUUCUGACUACRGAUUGGGUAUAAUCCUGCCAUAAGGAUUACCCUAUUUUCCUGAACCUGUCUUCCGGAUUUUCUGCAUGUUUUCCUUUGCCCGCUGAUCCCAGGAAGCGGGUCUCACAGUAUAGAUACAGUUGUAGUUUUGC